Molecule: ribosomal RNA, 910 nt
Filed under: uncultured bacterium
Lineage: Bacteria
Description: bacterial SSU rRNA
Rfam family: Bacterial small subunit ribosomal RNA
Source: RNAcentral
ACGCUGGCGGCGUGCCUAAUACAUGCAAGUAGGACGCACAGUUUAUACCGUAGCUUGCUACACCAUAGACUGUGAGUUGCGAACGGGUGAGUAACGCGUAGGUAACCUGCCUAUUAGAGGGGGAUAACUAUUGGAAACGAUAGCUAAUACCGCAUAACAGUAUGUAACACAUGUUAGAUGCUUGAAAGAUGCAAUUGCAUCGCUAGUAGAUGGACCUGCGUUGUAUUAGCUAGUAGGUAGGGUAAAGGCCUACCUAGGCAACGAUACAUAGCCGACCUGAGAGGGUGAUCGGCCACACUGGGACUGAGACACGGCCCAGACUCCUACGGGAGGCAGCAGUAGGGAAUCUUCGGCAAUGGGGGGAACCCUGACCGAGCAACGCCGCGUGAGUGAAGAAGGUUUUCGGAUCGUAAAGCUCUGUUGUUAAGGAAGAACGAGUGUGAGAAUGGAAAGUUCAUACUGUGACGGUACUUAACCAGAAAGGGACGGCUAACUACGUGCCAGCAGCCGCGGUAAUACGUAGGUCCCGAGCGUUGUCCGGAUUUAUUGGGCGUAAAGCGAGCGCAGGCGGUUAGAAAAGUCUGAAGUGAAAGGCAGUGGCUCAACCAUUGUAGGCUUUGGAAACUGUUUAACUUGAGUGCAGAAGGGGAGAGUGGAAUUCCAUGUGUAGCGGUGAAAUGCGUAGAUAUAUGGAGGAACACCGGUGGCGAAAGCGGCUCUCUGGUCUGUAACUGACGCUGAGGCUCGAAAGCGUGGGGAGCGAACAGGAUUAGAUACCCUGGUAGUCCACGCCGUAAACGAUGAGUGCUAGGUGUUAGGUCCUUUCCGGGACUUAGUGCCGUAGCUAACGCAUUAAGCACUCCGCCUGGGGAGUACGACCGCAAGGUUGAAACUCAAAGGAAUUGACGGG